RNAcentral lists this ribosomal RNA (383 nucleotides) under uncultured bacterium. RNAcentral's name for it is "bacterial SSU rRNA". It matches the Rfam family "Bacterial small subunit ribosomal RNA", at positions 28 to 411 of the family's 1533-position model. The record is from RNAcentral.
GAUGAACGCUAGCGGCAGGCUUAACACAUGCAAGUCGAGGGGUAUUGGUUUUCGGACCAAGAGACCGGCGCACGGGUGCGUAACGCGUAUGCAAUCUACCUUUUGCAGAGGGAUAGCCCAGAGAAAUUUGGAUUAAUACCUCAUAGUAUAGUACUUUGGCAUCAAGGAACUAUUAAAGUCACAACGGCAAAAGAUGAGCAUGCGUCCCAUUAGCUAGUUGGUAAGGUAACGGCUUACCAAGGCUACGAUGGGUAGGGGUCCUGAGAGGGAGAUCCCCCACACUGGUACUGAGACACGGACCAGACUCCUACGGGAGGCAGCAGUGAGGAAUAUUGGACAAUGGGACGCAAGCCUGGAUCCGAGCCAUGCCGCGUGCAGGAUGA